This 594-nucleotide ribosomal RNA is filed under the name uncultured bacterium. Its description in RNAcentral is "bacterial SSU rRNA". It matches the Rfam family "Bacterial small subunit ribosomal RNA", at positions 62 to 652 of the family's 1533-position model. The record is from RNAcentral.
UCGACGGCAGCACGGACUUCGGUCUGGUGGCGAGUGGCGAACGGGUGAGUAAUAUAUCGGAACGUACCCUGGAGUGGGGGAUAACGCAGCGAAAGUUGCGCUAAUACCGCAUACGAUCUACGGAUGAAAGUGGGGGCUCGCAAGACCUCAUGCUCGUGGAGCGGCCGAUAUCUGAUUAGCUAGUUGGUAGGGUAAAAGCCUACCAAGGCUUCGAUCAGUAGCUGGUCUGAGAGGACGACCAGCUACACUGGGACUGAGACACGGCCCAGACUCCUACGGGAGGCAGCAGUGGGGAAUUUUGGACAAUGGGGGCAACCCUGAUCCAGCAAUGCCGCGUGAGUGAAGAAGGCCUUCGGGUUGUAAAGCUCUUUUGUCAGGGAAGAAACGGUGAAGGCUAAUACUCUUUGCUAAUGACGGUACCUGAAGAAUAAGCACCGGCUAACUACGUGCCAGCAGCCGCGGUAAUACGUAGGGUGCAAGCGUUAAUCGGAAUUACUGGGCGUAAAGCGUGCGCAGGCGGUUAUGUAAGUCAGAUGUGAAAUCCCCGGGCUCAACCUGGGAAUGGCAUUUGAGACUGCAUGGCUAGAGUGUGUC